AUUUUUUACCUGAGCUCAUAUGGAGUGUUAUGGCCGCGGCAGGUGUUAAUUUUAUUCAUUUGUGCGUCGAAAUAAGCGCGUAAGGACAUGUUAAGACAAAGUGCGACACGCAGGAAUAUUUCCUUAAGGCCUCCUUAUUGACAUCUACAACUUCUGUUUGCGGAAAAUCGGCCCGAAAUUUUUGGACCCAGAUUUUUUUAUAGAUUCCUGCCCACCAGUGGAGUUGAUUGCACAAAGAAAAAUAGGGGGUCGCGUGGAUUAAUCUUGAAAUAUGAUUUUUUGAAAUUUAGCAUGGCGUUUUAUGGAGAUUUUUGUUUUUGGCGAUUAAAAAAAAUCUGCCCGAAAUUUUUUGCUCAAAAUUGCACAAAAUGAUAAUUGAAUGACCCUUAACAGAUAAGCAGCAAAAAAAUUGGGGGUUCAUGGGGCAAAAAUUUUACAUUGGGCAUAUGGGAGAUCAAAAAAACCUCUUUGGUACUCUUAGCAUUGCAAUAAGGAGUCCUUAAGAAGCUGAGCUGCUUAGAAUCCGUGUGGAAUCAAACAGGAGCAAAAGAUGAAGAAAAAAAGUCGCCGGCAUCCCGCCCCUCGCGACGCGAGAGCGCAGCCCCUAUCAUCAGGCACAUCAACUCAGCGGCGGGACAGCCAAUAUUUCUUUCCUCUCACCAUCUCUGCCAAAUCUGCAGCCGCGGACUGAUUUUCGGAAAUUAAUUUCAGUGUGAUGAGGAGAGACUAUUUCUCAACCGAGAAAAUGCUGAAAAAAAUUCAUCGGAAUUUGCGUUAUGCCAUCUUGCAGUUAAUAAAGAUUUUGCAAAUCCUGUUCUGCAAGUGAACAAUGCCGACAAAUUAGGAAAGUUUGAUGAACUAUUGGACCAUACGUACGCGUGGAGCAGGAACGAAGGAAGAAAAUUUUAAGUUUGAUUUAAAAAUAAUUUCAAAGAUUGUGGGUAUUAUAUUACUAUUAAAAAAUAAAUUUUAAAA
Neocloeon triangulifer is the source of this 975-nucleotide long non-coding RNA. RefSeq lists it as uncharacterized. The transcript has 3 exons. Lineage: Eukaryota; Metazoa; Arthropoda; Insecta; Ephemeroptera; Baetidae. The record is from RefSeq and is a predicted model, not a curated record.